CAGCAGAUACCUUUUCAAUGGGGAAUUAAGAGUAAAAUUGCUAUCGAUGAUUGAUGUACUGGGCAGCCUUGAGCCACAUCUUGGUGAUGAAAGAGCAUUAGCUCUCGAUGCCACCAACAUUGCAUGUGCUGUAGAAGAUUUUAUGACCAAGAAGGGUCUGCUCUUUUAUGCCCUUUGUGGAAUUGGCACUGAAGGCGUCCCUGUUUUGAAUGGAAAGAAGGGUGGAACCAUGAAGUUAAUUGAGAAGCAAAAAGCUCCAUCACCUUUAGAGCUGUUAAGGGAGCUGUUAGAGCUUAGGGGUUCUUUGUGUUAGGUUGUAGGGAUGCAUUGUGCAGAACACAAGCUGAACCUAGCAGCAUGUCAGACAGCCAGAGCCAGUUCUGUACGCCAGUAAAUUUCAAGAACUGUUGCAGCAGCUGUACAACGUUUAUACAUCCACCUUGUUCGAACAACUAGACUGAGUGCUUUGCAAAAUAAUUGUGGAGUUAGAGCCAGGUGCGGAGGGAAGGUCACCGAGCCUUCUGCCACAUGGUGGUAGGCUGUUGGUGGUUCAUGCCCAGCCAUCCGCAGUAAUCUCUCGGCCAUCAUGGUCAGCCUGCCUGGAGAGGCAGAAGAACGCAGUGACAUCAAGGAAGCAGGACUGUUCAAGUUUGUAAUGAAUGUGAAGUUUGUAGGGACCCUAUUGAUGUGUGAGCUUCUCCCGUUAGUUGAUAGGCUUUUGAGAACACUUCAAACAUCAUCACUGCACGUGGACCUUGUGCAGGGACUCGUCAAAUCAUGCAUAAUGACCCUGGAAACACAUGGCACCAUUGAGACAAAGGAUAACGGUUUUUGUGUCAGUCAUGCUGUACAGGUGACAGUCGCAGAAGAAUCUGAGGAAUGGCUCCACAGCACCAAAGAGGCAUUCAACGAGCUGGUAGAAUAUGUCAAGGACAGGUUUCAAGACCACACCCCAUAUUGGCCAGUUAUUCUGUUGUGUUUGCCCGUGGCAGCUACAAAGACAUGGUGCGUUCCAAUGGAAUAGAAAUUGCCAAUACGCUGGAAAGGCUGUGCCCUACUCUUGGCAAGCCAUAUACCCAGGACAUGCUUGCAAAAGCUGACAGCAGCGGACGUUUUGCUUUUUGUGGCACACAGUGUGAAAGAGCUUUUUCCCCUUAUGGUGCACAUAGCUGGAUCAUACCUUGUGCACCUGCCGCACACGGUAGACUGAGAAAGACUUCUCAGCUAUGAAAAUUAUCAAGACACAACUGAGAAAUCGCCUCAAGGAGGAGUUAUUCGACAGCCUCAUUUGUAUUGUAUGUGAUGGGCCUGAUGUUGACAGCUGCCUUAGGUGAUAGGGUAGUGGAAAAGUGGGCCAAGCUGAAUAAUCGGAGACUGAAUCUGAAGUAUGUAGUCUUUUGUAUCGUUGCUUUGUGUGAUUGCGCAUGAACGUCUGUUGUGUUAUCAUUAUUCACCCCUCCCCCUAGUCCUCCAAUGUCCACCUCUCAAAAUUUUUUUAGGGAGAACCCUGAAUACAGGCUAUAACCACAGGGUCUCAUUGUCAAAGGUCACACCGAGUGGCAAAAUAAUUGGUAUGUGAAGUGUACUGUUUCAUAUGCGCUUGUUGAACUAUACAUACCUUUGUAAAGAGUACCAAACUUAUGUACCAAGAACUGUAAAUUCACCCCAAGGAUCACCAGCUAGUUUGAUCACAUAUUUUUCUUAAGUUACCAAAGGCUUGAAAAAUGUUGCUUUUCUGCCAGGUUCGUAAUUCCGUGCCCUCUAUGUCAGAACCAAAUAGUUGGCUGUUGUCUCCAUUUUUGGUUUGUAAAUACAUCUCACAGGUACGGCAAGCUCACUACAGUUACUAAAUAAUGUCAACAAGUCAUCGCUAGGUACCUGUAAGAUAUAUGAAGCAGUACAUUGCAUUCAUAACCAGGCACUGCCACGUUUGUCAUGGAAAAGCAGUAGUAUGCUUAUAUGUGGACUGGGCCAUCUAAAAAAGUUGUCAUUCACUUUAUCAUAUGCUAAAGAGGUGAAGGCAAAAGCCUGUGCAUUCAUGAGACAUUAAAUUACUUGACAUUCUCAUUCAAAUGCAUUGUUACUUCCUAUUACUUGUUUUUCCCACCAAAGGUCAUGGGUUCGGUCAUCAGUGGUGGCAUCAUUAAUUUUGGUGCCAUUGAAUUUUGGUCCCACCAAACGUCGAGGGUUCAACUCCCACCAAAGUUUGCGAGUUCAAGUGUCUUAAAUAAUGUUGCCUUAACACCAAAGGCUGUGGGUUCAACUACCACCAAAAGUCGAGGGUUUGACUCUAACGAAAGGUUGUGGGUUCGAGUGCCUUAACGCUAUCUUAAUUAACUGUACCUUAAUUAAUAUGAGUGUUCAUGAGUUUGACUGCCAUCAAUCUUGGUACCAUAACACGGGACGGUGAAUUUUUUGAUAAUGAAGAACUGCGGAUUUUUCGACCCAUGAGCCACUUAACGCUUUUGCCUUCAUAAUGGUUGCAUCAGAAGCAUGACCACUUUCAUGGAGUGUGUUUCCUUUGUGGACGCUGUCACCACAGAAAUAAUUUACUUUCAAGCAAAACGAACACAAAAUCGUAGGUUUGCGAGUGGUGGCGCUGGCUAAUACUCCCAGGGUUAGUUCUAAUCAUAAAACAUAUAUACCCCAGGAAGUGGAUGGGAAAAUGGUGACACGGUAGCUCAAUCGGUAAGAGUAUUGCAUGCUUAAUGCAAAGACGUGGAACAGUUCCUCACCUGUGGCAAGUAGUUU
RNAcentral lists this long non-coding RNA (2751 nucleotides) under Dermacentor andersoni. RNAcentral's name for it is "uncharacterized LOC126536978". Lineage: Eukaryota; Metazoa; Arthropoda; Arachnida; Ixodida; Ixodidae. The record is from RNAcentral.